UCUUAAUUUUGAGGAGAGAUUGCAUCUUCAAAGGUAUUGAAGAAUACAGAUCCCAAAGAUACUGCAGCCUGACUCUGGUUUGAUUCUUAGAGGAACUGCUUGUCUUUCAAGUAGCUGCAAUCAGCUCCCAAGGCUUUAUAUAAUGCGGCAGCAAACUCAGAAUACGGUGCAUAAAGUUUUCAUAGCUGCAUUAGACUGGAAAACAUCCUGGCCCGCAUUCCAACUCCUGCCAUCUCCAGUUCUGCUGCUGAGAGCUCCCAACCUCAGUCUCGGUGACAGCUAAGGACAAACGUGAUGCUGUUGCCUGUGUUUUCCUUAGAACCACAGAAUGGCUUGAGUUGGAAGGGACCUCAGUCAUUAUCCAGUUCCACUCCUACACCAUGGGCAGGGUUGCCAACUUACUCAGGCAUCUUUAUGGGCACAGAGCAGCAUAUGCCUCUGCCCUUCACAAUGACUUUCUUCAAGCACUUGCAUUUGAAUGUUGCUUUCCCCUUUCUGGAUGAUUAUCUGUCCUCUGCUGUAAGGAGAUGAAGACAUAUACCAUUCUGAACCACAUUUGAGGGUGUUUCCAACUAAGCUUGGUGAGGGAUGAAGCUAUAAGGACUCAUUGCCAAGAAAUGCUAGUGGAUACACACCUUCACCCCUCUUGCAGAGAACUAUUGAUGGGCUCACGUGGCUGAGAUAUUUAUGAAGAAACUUCUUGUACAAGAGGAGGUUUAUUCCUCAGAGAAUGAAUCAAUCCAGGAUUGUCACUUCUAGAUUGAAAUACGCCAAGAUGAAUAUCUCUUCCACUUCAUACUGUUAUCACUCUUUGUUACCAACUUAUUAUGGACUACAGGUAGCAAGUGCUUCUGGACUUACAGCAAUACACCAAAGGUGUCAGAUGGCCAGGAGCUUCCAACCAGACCCUGCAUGAUUUGAGUGGCCCAAUGGAUUGUUUUGGUUCUACUUGUGAGCUAUUUUGAAAUAUUACAGUGUCCAUUACCGCAGUAUUAGCACUUCACUGUCCUUAAUGCUGUUUAAUCCAUCAGUUUUAGAGUCCCAAACCAAGGACUCCCUGCCAGCAGUCACCGCUACCGAUGCAGUGCACACUGUCAGAUUGCAACCUUGGCCAUAACAAGGUCAUGUAAUAAAGCACAUGACAGAGGAAAGACUGUAAUAAUAAUUAUUUCCAUUGUGUAUAAUAAAUAAUAUAAUAAAGCUUAGUUGUAAGCAUUAGAAGAGCCGUGAAAGUCAAGGCAGAUCUUUUGUGUUUGAUUCUCUCCUUCUGUGUACAGAAAUAAGAAAAAAAAAAAGGAAAAGAAUUGGUAGAAUGUUCCAGCUAAAGCAGAGCUGGUUCCAGAGAAGCUGAGAAAGAAAUGAGAUGGUGUCUCAACUAUGGCAAUGCAGAAUAGAAACUUAAUAUUUGUUCUGCAGUUUGUGUUCUGCGUUACUUUACUUUAAGGGACUGGGAAGUGUUUGAUUGAAAAAGGACUCCUUUCCCAGGGUGUAUCACUCAUCCAGAUUUCCCUUUGUAACUCGGGGUACUCAAAGUCAUUUCUUCCACCAAAAUCUGUCUGAUAUCUCUGUCUUUCUGGAGCUUCACACAUGACUGGAAAUCAAGCAUUCAAGGCAAAUACUACAGUUAAGUAUUAAACCUGACAGUUUUAUAUGUCUAGUACAAUAAUUGAUUCCAUGUUAUGCUAACCUACUCCACAGGUUAAAGCAGUGAGGGACAGCUCCAUCUCAUACAGGAGUCCCUGAAUUAUUAUUUUUAAGGUAUUUAAAAGCACCGAGGCAAUUCACAUUUCUAUUUUAUAAGCAUUUGUAUGGUUGAAGAAUAGAAUACAGGGAGCACUUGCA
RNAcentral lists this long non-coding RNA (1842 nucleotides) under Gallus gallus (chicken). The record is from RNAcentral. Lineage: Eukaryota; Metazoa; Chordata; Aves; Galliformes; Phasianidae.